ACAGUGGUAUAGAACAACACAGGCCUGCAGAUGGGCUGUAAAAGAUAAGACAGUGGUAUAGAACAACACGGGUGGGGCCUGCAGGUAGGCUGUAAAAGAAAAGACAGUGGUAUAGAACAACACAGGCCUGCAGGUAGGCUGUAAAAGAUAAGACAGUGGUAUAGAACAACACAGGUGGGGCCUGCAGGUAGGCUGUAAAAGAUAAGACAGUGGUAUAGAACAACACAGGUGGGGCCUGCAGGUAGGCUGCAGAGGGACUAUACAGUGGUAUAGAACAACACAGGCCUGCAGGUGGGCUGUAAAAGAUAAGACAGUGGUAUAGAACAACACAGGUGGGGCCUGCAGGUAGGCUGUAAAAGAUAAGACAGUGGUAUAGAACAACACAGGUGGGGCCUGCAGGUAGGAUGUAAAAGAUAAGACAGUGGUAUAGAAUAACACAGGUGGGG
Oncorhynchus tshawytscha (Chinook salmon) is the source of this 446-nucleotide long non-coding RNA. The record is from Ensembl. NCBI's taxonomy places the organism in Eukaryota, Metazoa, Chordata, Actinopteri, Salmoniformes, Salmonidae.